This 497-nucleotide ribosomal RNA is filed under the name uncultured bacterium. Its description in RNAcentral is "partial 16S ribosomal RNA". It matches the Rfam family "Bacterial small subunit ribosomal RNA", at positions 28 to 507 of the family's 1533-position model. The record is from RNAcentral.
GAUGAACGCUGGCGGCGUGCCUAAUACAUGCAAGUCGAGCGAACAGACGAGGAGCUUUCUCCGCUGACGUUAGCGGCGGACGGGUGAGUAACACGUUGAUCACCUACCUAUAAGACUGGGAUAACUUCGGGAAACCGGAGCUAAUACCGGACAAUAUAUUGAACGGCAUGGUUCAAUAGUUAAAGACGGUUUUGCUGUCACUUAUAGAUGGAUCCGCGCCGCGUUAGCUAGUUGGUAAGGUAACGGCUUACCAAGGCAGCGAUGCGUGUCCGACCUGAGAGGGUGGUCGGCCACACUGGAACGGAGACACGGUCCAGACGCCUAAGGGAGGCAGCAGUAGGGAAUCUGCCGCAAUGGGCGAAAGCAUGACGGAGCAACGGCGCGUGAGUGAUGAAGGUCUUCGGAUCGUAAAACUCUGUUAUUAGGGAAGAACAAAUGUGUAAGGAACUAUGCACGUAUUGACGGUACCUAAUGAGAAAGCCACGGCUAACUACGUG